AUUUGACUAAACACAAUUCAGGGAAGAUGGAUUAAACUGGACCCUGGAAGAUUUCACUAAAUCGACAUUAAUUGUUUUUUAAACAUAACGAGAGUUGAAUUAAAACACAUAAAAGCACAAACAUCCAGCGGGCAGAAUGGUUAAAGAGUUCAUACAAGGUGGCGCUUUCUAAGCGGGAAAAUUUUCUCUUUGGCUCAAUUAAACGCCAUCUGGAAAACAUAUGAGAAUCCGCAGGUUUAUCCGUAAAAAAGCCUGUUUAAAGUUUUAAUCAAAAUCAUUUUUAUAUUAAAAUAAUUGACUUAAAUUUUGGACUAUGUUUGUCUAGUUUAGUUUGUUUGUCAUUUUAACAAUUUAAUCUCAUAAAAUUUCACCAAAAAAGGACUCUGGGCUUUAGAUUAGCGUUGUGAUGAGCAAAUUUAAUUUUAUUAGGUCAAUAUUUUUAUUUUAGUUGCGGUUGGACAACAUUCUGAUUUUUGCCAAAAUGACCAAUGAAUCAGCAGUCACAAUGAUGACAGAGGAUGACAUUAAAAGUAAACUUGACUGUGAUCAGAACUAUAAUAUUUUGUGUCACCCUGAAGAUAUGAGAAGAGAAACUCUUCUAUCCAUUCUUGAAGAGAGACAACUUGAUAUUCCAGAUCUAAAUGAAAUGGGGUUGGUUGAUUUGAUUCAAAUUUAUAAUUCAUACUUGUUGCCUUUGCCACAGCGA
Non-coding RNA from Tetranychus urticae (two-spotted spider mite), 706 nucleotides. The record is from RefSeq and is a predicted model, not a curated record. NCBI's taxonomy places the organism in Eukaryota, Metazoa, Arthropoda, Arachnida, Trombidiformes, Tetranychidae.